Molecule: ribosomal RNA, 484 nt
Filed under: uncultured bacterium
Lineage: Bacteria
Description: partial 16S ribosomal RNA
Rfam family: Bacterial small subunit ribosomal RNA
Source: RNAcentral
AUUGAACGCUGGCGGCAGGCCUAACACAUGCAAGUCGAGCGGAUGAAGGGAGCUUGCUCCUGGAUUCAGCGGCGGACGGGUGAGUAAUGCCUAGGAAUCUGCCUGGUAGUGGGUGAUAACGUCCGGAAACGGGCGCUAAUACCGCAUACGCCCUGAGGGAGAAAGUGGGGGAUCUUCGGACCUCACGCUAUCAGAUGAGCCUAGGUCGGAUUAGCUAGUUGGUGGGGUAAAGGCCUACCAAGGCGACGAUCCGUAACUGGUCUGAGAGGAUGAUCAGUCACACUGGAACUGAGACACGGUCCAGACUCCUACGGGAGGCAGCAGUGGGGAAUAUUGGACAAUGGGCGAAAGUCUGAUCCAGCCAUGCCGCGUGUGUGAAGAAGGUCUUCGGAUUGUAAAGCACUUUAAGUUGGGAGGAAGGGCAGUAAGUUAAUACCUUGCUGUUUUGACGUUACCAACAGAAUAAGCACCGGCUAACUUCGUG